UAGGGAAUAUUAGAAAUGGACGAAAGUCUGAUCUAGCAACACCGCGUGUGCGAAGAAGGCCUUCGGGUCGUAAAGCACUUUUUGGAAGGAAUAGGAAGGAAUGUAUUUCCAGAAUAAGUCUCAGCUAACUACGUGCCAGCAGCCGCGGUAACACGUAGGAGGCAAACGUUAUCCGGAUUUACUGGGCGUAAAGCGCGUGUAGGUGGUACUGUAAGUAGGGCGUGAAAGCUCCUGGCUCAACUGGGAGAGGCCGUUCUAAACUACAGAACUAGAGGAUGGUAGAGGGAGGUGGAAUUCCAGGUGUAGCGGUGGAAUGCGCAGAUAGCUGGAGGAACACCGGUGGGGAAGGCGGCCUCCUGGACCAUUCCUGACACUCAGACGCGAAA
RNAcentral lists this ribosomal RNA (386 nucleotides) under uncultured bacterium. RNAcentral's name for it is "bacterial SSU rRNA". It matches the Rfam family "Bacterial small subunit ribosomal RNA", at positions 355 to 758 of the family's 1533-position model. The record is from RNAcentral.